This 182-nucleotide non-coding RNA is filed under the name Shewanella morhuae. RNAcentral describes it as "6S RNA". It matches the Rfam family "6S / SsrS RNA". Rfam says of the family: E. coli 6S RNA was the first non coding RNA to be sequenced, but its function was unknown until recently. It consists of 184 nucleotides that fold into an extended hairpin structure with a large single-stranded internal bulge. RNAcentral also lists the same sequence under 2 other names. The record is from RNAcentral. Lineage: Bacteria; Pseudomonadati; Pseudomonadota; Gammaproteobacteria; Alteromonadales; Shewanellaceae.
UGCUCCCUGGGAUGCAUGCCAACUGGUAAUGUCCCUGUGCCGAUAAUUUUGAUCUUAGGGUGAAUGCUUUACUGACAUUGUGCAUGCUCGGCUCGUACCGAGAAGCCUUAGGAGGUAAUCAUUUUCCCGCCUUGAACCUACGGUUCAAGGGCUACACCGGGUAGCGGCAUUCUGGGGAGCAU